UGGGGUACAUCCAUUGAUAGAAUACUAGGCCUUCAAAUGCAACUUCUCCCGUAAGAUGCAUGGUGAGAUGCAUCAUAAUUAAAAAAUGAUAGUAAGAAUAUCUUCUCCAGAUUACAUAAAAUAGUCACCGUCCUUACCUUUAUUUCCUUCAUAUUUUUCUUAAGUAACCUCUUUGCACAAAUAUUUCUAUAAAAGUUGCAAAGACG
Molecule: long non-coding RNA, 206 nt
Filed under: Elaeis guineensis (African oil palm)
Lineage: Eukaryota; Viridiplantae; Streptophyta; Magnoliopsida; Arecales; Arecaceae
Description: long non-coding RNA (EGUI_LNC048940)
Source: RNAcentral